GCCUGGUUGACUAGAGUUGCCAUCCAGCCAAGAAUCCUGGAUCCCCAAAGAAGAGUGAAAAGAGCCAGACAUCAUGUUUUAUCACAAUAGAGAGGGUUCUGAGGAUGGAACCAGGGUCUGUGUGAAGAAUGUAUCAUACACAUAACUCCAUGCCUGAAGGGCACCUCUUCCAGCACCCACUCACAGGUUUUCGCCUGUGCCUUCAGCUACACAUGGUUUCCCAGCUGCAGUGCAUAUACCUUUUUGGAGAGAUGCCACACUCCCACCUGGGAGGGGAAUACGAGUGGAUGAGGACAAGGAGGCUGAGGACAUGGUUCCCUGGCAACAGGGCCAGCCCAGCAGGAGGGGCAGGCUCCAGGGACGGGUCAGCUUUGGGGGAUCGUGCCAUCUGCGGUAUCAGCAUCUCUUAGAGGUUGUUGGAAAUGCAGAAUCUCAGGCUUCACCUCAGACUAACUGAAUCAUAAUCUGCCACUUGACAAGACCUGGGAGAUUUGUGUGCCUGCUAAUAUUUGAGAAGCAUUUUCUCUGGAAGACAAGAACUUUAUUUUGUAUUUCACUUAUAUUUGCAUUUCCUUGUAAUUAAAUGGAACCAUGGUGGCCAUGAAGUAGAUUUAACAUAUUCUUAUUGAACUUAGUUGAUGUGGUCCUCAAUGGCCAACCAUUCUUCCAAAGGAGAAUAUGCCCUAACCAUUUUAUAUAAUUCAAACAACCACCUAGGGAGACAUGCAAAACACUUUUUCAUUCGCAUUUUACAAAUAAAGAAAUGGAGACUCAGAGGGCUUCA
RNAcentral lists this long non-coding RNA (784 nucleotides) under Felis catus (domestic cat). RNAcentral describes it as "lncRNA (ENSFCAG00000049510.1)". Lineage: Eukaryota; Metazoa; Chordata; Mammalia; Carnivora; Felidae. The record is from RNAcentral.